RNAcentral lists this ribosomal RNA (207 nucleotides) under uncultured bacterium. RNAcentral describes it as "partial 16S ribosomal RNA". It matches the Rfam family "Bacterial small subunit ribosomal RNA", at positions 568 to 774 of the family's 1533-position model. The record is from RNAcentral.
UGUGUAGGUGGCAAGGUAAGUUUGAUGUGAAAUCUCCGGGCUCAACCCGGAAAUUGCAUUGAAUACUAUCUAGCUAGAGGAUCGGAGGGGAGACUGGAAUUCUCGGUGUAGCAGUGAAAUGCGUAGAUAUCGAGAGGAACACCGGUGGCGAAGGCGAGUCUCUGGACGAUUCCUGACACUGAGGCACGAAAGCCAGGGGAGCAAACA